UGUCAUGUAGUGGUUUCAGCAUUGGACUACAACUCAGAAGACCAGGGUUCAAUUCCCACCAUGACCA
Phrynosoma platyrhinos (Desert horned lizard) is the source of this 67-nucleotide non-coding RNA. NCBI's taxonomy places the organism in Eukaryota, Metazoa, Chordata, Lepidosauria, Squamata, Phrynosomatidae. The record is from the annotation of a GenBank genome assembly.